Molecule: transfer RNA, 88 nt
Filed under: Nitrososphaerales archaeon
Lineage: Archaea; Thermoproteati; Nitrososphaerota; Nitrososphaeria; Nitrososphaerales
Description: tRNA-Leu
Rfam family: tRNA
About the family: Transfer RNA (tRNA) molecules are approximately 80 nucleotides in length. Their secondary structure includes four short double-helical elements and three loops (D, anti-codon, and T loops).
Source: RNAcentral
GCGGGGGUUGCCAAGCCAGGUCAAAGGCGCAGGCCUGAGGCGCCUGUCUUCUAGAAGUUCGUGGGUUCAAAUCCCACUCCCCGCACCA